CAUGCAAGUCGAGCGACGUGUUCCCGCAAGGGAAUUACGAGCGGCAAACGGGUGAGUAACACAUUGGUAACCUACCUCCAAGUCGAGGACAGCUCGCCGAAAGGCGAAUUAAUACUCGAUGGCAAUGCGGGGACAUAAGUCAUUCGCAUUUAAAGAUUUAUUGCUUGGAGAGGGGCCUAUGUCUGAUUAGCUAGUUGGCGGGGUAAAAGCCCACCAAGGCGAUGAUCAGUAGCAGGCGUGAGAGCGUGACCUGCCUCACUGGGACUGAGACACUGCCCAGACACCUACGGGUGGCUGCAGUCAAGAAUCUUCCCCAAUGGACGAAAGUCUGAGGGAGCGACGCCGCGUGCAGGAUUAAGGCCUUCGGGUCGUAAACUGCUUUUAUAUGGGACGAAUUCGUGACGGUACCAUAUGAAUAAGAGGUUGCUAACUCUGUGCCAGCAGCAGCGGUAAUACAGAGACCUCAAGCGUUAUCCGGAUUUAUUGGGCGUAAAGCGUCCGCAGGUGGUUUAGCGGGUUAGAGGUAAAAACUCUGCGCUCAACGCAGAGUCGGCUUUUAAAACUACUAAACUAGAGGAUGGAAGAGGUAAGCAGAAUUGCUGGUGUAGUCGUAAUAAGCGUUGAUAUCAGCAAGAAUACCAAAGGCGAAGGCAGCUUACUAUUACAUUCCUGACACUCAGGGACUAAAGCGUGGGGAGCAAACAGGAUUAGAUACCCUGGUAGUCCACGCCCUAAACUAUGUGCACUAGGUAUUGGCAGUAUCGACCCUGUCAGUGCCGUUGAAAAAAGCUAACGCGUUAAGUGCACCGCCUGGGGAGUACGGUCGCAAGGCUAAAACUCAAAGAAAUAGACGGGGACCCGCACAAGCGGUGGAUUAUGUGGUUUAAUUCGAUAACAAACGGUUAACCUUACCUGGGCUCAACUACUAGCUGCAUGUCGCCAGAAAUGGCUUCAGCCUUCGAGGGUGCUAGAUAGGUGCUGCAUGGUUGCCGUCAGCUCGUGCCGUGAGGUAUACCAUUAAGUUGGAAAACGAGCGCAACCCACGUCGCGUGUUAAAUGUACGCGCGAGACCGCCCCCCACCUAGCGCAUUUUUUAAAAAAAGUGCGUUGAGUGGGGGGAGGAAGGGGUGGACGACGUCAAAUCAGCAUGGCUCUUACGUCCAGGGCUACACACAUAAUACAAUGGCCGGUACAGAGGGCUGCCAAGUCGCGAGACGGAGCUAAUCCCUUAAAACCGGCCCCAGUUCAGAUUGAAGGCUGCAACUCGCCUUCAUGAAGUCGGAAUCGCUAGUAAACGCGCAUCAGCCACGGCGCGUUGAAUACGUUCUCGGGUCUUGUACUCACCGCCCGUCACACCACGGGAGUUGGCAAUGCACGAAAUC
This 1382-nucleotide ribosomal RNA is filed under the name uncultured bacterium. RNAcentral describes it as "16S ribosomal RNA". It matches the Rfam family "Bacterial small subunit ribosomal RNA", at positions 54 to 1428 of the family's 1533-position model. The record is from RNAcentral.